UACAGAGGUCCCAAGCGUUGUUCGGAUUGACUGGGCGUAAAGGGCGCGUAGGCGGUUCGUACAGUCAGACGUGAAAUUCCUGGGCUCAACCUGGGGGCUGCGUUUGAUACGUGCGGACUUGAGUGCGGAAGAGGGUCGUGGAAUUCCCAGUGUAGAGGUGAAAUUCGUAGAUAUUGGGAAGAACACCGGUGGCGAAGGCGGCGACCUGGUCCGAUACUGACGCUGAGGCGCGAAAGCGUGGGGAGCAAACAGG
Molecule: ribosomal RNA, 253 nt
Filed under: uncultured bacterium
Lineage: Bacteria
Description: partial 16S ribosomal RNA
Rfam family: Bacterial small subunit ribosomal RNA
Source: RNAcentral